AGUAUUUAAAUACAACCAAAAUUGUCUUUCAUAAGUUUAAACUGAAUUUGUUUACUUGACCAUGCCAUUCUCAAUCGCCAUCUUUACUGAACUUCGAACGCGGAAAAGGACUGGGUAAAAACAUUAAUAUGCGCAAUUUAUGCAAUGACGUAUUCUUUGGGUUACCCCCGUGUAGAGACUGGCGCGUGCAGAAAGAGAAAUAAAGAAAAAAAAGUUAAUGAUAUUCCCAACAGAAUUUUUUUACGUUUAUCAAUCAUGUUCACAAGCAGAAAUUAAAACAUAAUUGGAUUUCAGUUUGAGCUAGAACGGCCCAAUAACAAACAACAAAUUCCCUCUUAUAAUGACGAUGGCCCAGACGCACCAGAAUUACCCGCUGCUUCUCGCACAGAUUUAUAUAUCAGUGAGUGGUGCUUAUGUGAAAAUUGCGAGAGGAUGCCUUCAGCUGUUGAGUGUUUGUGCUGUAACGAGGUGGACACUAUCAAAUACUUACAACUACGAUAAGAAAUGUAUAACAGAGCAUACUAAACAGAGCACGAAGAUGUCAACGCGGUUGUGAUUUUAAAGAACACUUUGUGGACAGCGUUAGUCGCUCUCCACGAUCGGGAAAGCCGUGGACUUAAAAAAUCCCUAGCACUCUUGAAAUUUCUGUUGUCAUAGUAUUUCCAAUCUUAUUAUUUGAGGAUGAUAUUUUUAGAUCUUAUCGAUAUGCGGCAUACCGCCAAUUCUGUUGGUUUGUUCAUAACCACUUGGGAAAAGGCGUUCGUCGGGUUAUACCAUCUUGUUUCGUGUCUAAGAUACGUAGAGAAUAUCCAAGUACGAAUGGGAUGUAUACUGGCUUCAAAGAAGGUGAAGAAAUAUCUCAAAUUGAUUUUUCUCGGACAAAUGAAGUUGACGAUGAGAAUAUUUGAUUGUAAAUUAAAAACAACAGUCUUUUGCAGGAGAGGCGUUCGAUCGCACGCGCACGUCGUGGCACACGCGUAAAUCGUUUCAGGCGUGCGAUUAAUUGAACGCCUGAAAAAUUAAUAAUGAGUUUUAGAAAUCAAUCCUAUAAAAUCCCAUUUUACAGCGUGCGAUGGCAGCCUUCGAAAUAAUUUUUGGAGUCUCGUCAGACUUUCGUCGGACAAAACGUUGAUAGAUUUCCGUCUUCGCCGAACACUUUUAGAUCUCAGAAUUAUCGAAUAGUCCUGGUCAUUUUCAUCCACGAGCAAGCCUAUUCAUAGCCAACCUGACCAUCCUAGCUAAUUCACCAACUCCUGACUUAGCUAAAAGAACUACGUAGACAUGAAUGUCUUUUGCCUGGCCCCUUCGUCGUUGGUAACCAGGUCUUACACAAGAAAUCCAGCCAUGCGGUUCUUAACUUAUGCGGAGGUGAACACCGACGGAGCACGGAUGAAUCAAGUCUGCAAAACUGCACUUACGGGCGGAACAGACAUUUUAUCAUGGAUUUAAGUGUAGAUAAUUUCUUCAUUUGACAAAACAAUUGGAAACCAUAGCUGGUCCGAA
Molecule: long non-coding RNA, 1503 nt
Organism: Hydractinia symbiolongicarpus
Lineage: Eukaryota; Metazoa; Cnidaria; Hydrozoa; Anthoathecata; Hydractiniidae
Exons: 2
Source: RefSeq, a predicted model, not a curated record